This 447-nucleotide ribosomal RNA is filed under the name uncultured bacterium. Its description in RNAcentral is "bacterial SSU rRNA". It matches the Rfam family "Bacterial small subunit ribosomal RNA", at positions 329 to 793 of the family's 1533-position model. The record is from RNAcentral.
UUCCAGACUCCUACGGGAGGCAGCAGUGGGGGAUAUUGCACAAUGGGGGAAACCCUGAUGCAGCGACGCCGCGUGUGGGAAGACGGUCCUCUGGAUUGUAAACCACUGUCCCCAGGGACGAAAAUGACGGUACCUGGGGAGGAAGCUCCGGCUAACUACGUGCCAGCAGCCGCGGUAAUACGUAGGGAGCGAGCGUUGUCCGGAAUUACUGGGUGUAAAGGGAGCGUAGGCGGGGAUGCAAGUUGGGUGUCAAAACUACCGGCUCAACUGGUAGUCGCACUCAAAACUGCAGCUCUUGAGUGAAGUAGAGGCAGGCGGAAUUCCUAGUGUAGCGGUGAAAUGCGUAGAUAUCAGGAGGAACACCGGCGGCGAAGGCGGCCUGCUGGACCGCGACUGACGUUGAGGCUCGAAAGCGUGGGGAGCGAACAGGAUUAGAUACCCCCGUAU